RNAcentral lists this ribosomal RNA (467 nucleotides) under uncultured bacterium. Its description in RNAcentral is "partial 16S ribosomal RNA". It matches the Rfam family "Bacterial small subunit ribosomal RNA", at positions 28 to 506 of the family's 1533-position model. The record is from RNAcentral.
GACGAACGCUGGCGGCGUGCUUAACACAUGCAAGUCGAACGGAAAGGCCCUGCUUUUGUGGGGUGCUCGAGUGGCGAACGGGUGAGUAACACGUGAGUAACCUGCCCUUGACUUUGGGAUAACUUCAGGAAACUGGGGCUAAUACCGGAUAGGAGCUCCUGCUGCAUGGUGGGGGUUGGAAAGUUUCGGCGGUUGGGGAUGGACUCGCGGCUUAUCAGCUUGUUGGUGGGGUAGUGGCUUACCAAGGCUUUGACGGGUAGCCGGCCUGAGAGGGUGACCGGCCAAAUUGGGAAUGAGAUACGGCCCAGACUCCUAAGGGAGGGAAGAGUGGGGAAUAAUGGACAAUGGGCGGAAGCCUGAUGGAGCAAAGCCGGGUGCGGGAUGGAGGCAUUUGGGUUGUUAACCGGUUUCGCCUGGGACGAAGGGGUAGUGGAGGUAAUUGGGAAAGGAGGAACGGGCAACUGAGU